GAAUCUGCCUAUUAGUGGGGGACAACAUUCCGAAAGGAAUGCUAAUACCGCAUACGCCCUACGGGGGAAAGCAGGGGAUCUUCGGACCUUGCGCUAAUAGAUGAGCCUAAGUCAGAUUAGCUAGUUGGUGGGGUAAAGGCCUACCAAGGCGACGAUCUGUAGCGGGUCUGAGAGGAUGAUCCGCCACACUGGGACUGAGACACGGCCCAGACUCCUACGGGAGGCAGCAGUGGGGAAUAUUGGACAAUGGGCGAAAGCCUGAUCCAGCCAUGCCGCGCGUGUGAAGAAGGCCUUUUGGUUGUAAAGCACUUUUAUCGAGGAGGAGGCUACCGAGCCUAAUACUCUUGGAUAGUGGACGUUACUCGCAGAAUAAGCACCGGCUAACUCUGUGCCAGCAGCCGCGGUAAUACAGAGGGUGCGAGCGUUAAUCGGAUUUACUGGGCGUAAAGCGUGCGUAGGCGGCUUUUUAAGUCGGAUGUGAAAUCCCUGAGCUUAACUUAGGAAUUGCAUUCGAUACUGGGAAGCUAGAGUAUGGGAGAG
This 540-nucleotide ribosomal RNA is filed under the name uncultured bacterium. RNAcentral's name for it is "bacterial SSU rRNA". It matches the Rfam family "Bacterial small subunit ribosomal RNA", at positions 122 to 656 of the family's 1533-position model. The record is from RNAcentral.